RNAcentral lists this unclassified non-coding RNA (386 nucleotides) under uncultured Ascomycota. RNAcentral describes it as "sequence contains ITS1". The stretch from base 1 to 104 matches the Rfam family "5.8S ribosomal RNA", at positions 50 to 154 of the family's 154-position model. Lineage: Eukaryota; Fungi; Ascomycota. The record is from RNAcentral.
GAAAUGCGAUACGUAAUGCGAAUUGCAGAUCCAGUGAAUCAUCGAGUCUUUGAACGCACAUUGCGCCCCCCGGCAAUCCGGGGGGCUUGUCCGACCGAGCGCCGCAGCGCCGCUCAGGGUCUCCCUUCUUCGCGGGGGGAGGCGUCCCUGGUGUUGGGGCACGCCCGAAACAGGGCGGCUCUUAAGCUCAGCGGCGGUCGCCCGCGCGGUGCUCCAGGCGCAGUAAUUCCCACUACAUGCCGCCUCGGAGCCGCCGCCGGCGGCCCGCCACCAGCUCUCCUGGCGAGUCUUCUCUUGCGCUGCUGACGCGGCGGGGGGCGGGCUCGCACAGGAAACUCAAAAACCCGGUUGGCCUCGGGUCGGACAAGGCUACCCGCUGAACUUAA